Long non-coding RNA from Ictalurus punctatus (channel catfish), 2864 nucleotides. NCBI's taxonomy places the organism in Eukaryota, Metazoa, Chordata, Actinopteri, Siluriformes, Ictaluridae. The record is from Ensembl.
GGGUCUGGAGAGAGCGAUUUGUAAUAUUCAGGACCAGAAGUUAAAAGAAAAAGUGGAACAGUGCAAAAGAAGAUAUCCAGAUGCUUCCAGGACUGAAUGGCAGAAAAUCUACUGGAAACUGCUGCAGGAAUCAAGAACAGAAGCACAGAAGACUCUGGUGAAAGACAAACAUAUUUUGAAAUUGGCAGAAAAGUUUGGAGCGCUGCAGACAACAUCAGAGGAGCAGGAGAAGGCAAUAAAUGCAGCUCUGCAUGGGGGAAUAAGUUACGUUCAAGUGAUGCAAACUGCUUUCAGAGCAUCAGCCAAACUUGCCAAGCAGAAAAUAUGUGCUGUUCAGUGACUUGGAUAUUUUUUAGUCCAAUCUCGUUGUUUAGUUUUUUCCUUUCUAAAAUGUAUCAAUAUGAAAUAUAUCAGUAUAAAUGUGAAUAUAUUUCAAAUAUUUCAGUGGUGGUCAAAGAUGAACUUUAGAAUGACAUAAUGACGACUUAUCUCCAUCUUUAUCAGACUUACCUUUUGUAUACUCAGCUGAUGUGUCUGACACCAAUGGAAGCUUGGACAAUUCAGACAACCUACAAUUCACAUACUAAUACACCACUCAAAACAUUAAGGGAACCCUUAAAUCACACAUUGUAUCUCGAUGAACAAAAUAUUCAAGUUGAAAAUCUUUACUUAUAUACAUUGUGUAAUUCAUUGAGAACAAAAUGAUGUGACAAUGGAAGCCAAAAUCAUCAUCACACUGAGGGCUGGAUUCAAAAUCACACUGACAACCACAGUAAAAACUGAAUUACAGGCUGAUUCAACUUGCAUGAAUUUCAUCACGGCGACUCAUAAUGUCACUCAGUAGUGUAUAUGGCCCCCACGUGCCCAUAUGCACUCCCGACAAGGUCUGGGCAUCCUCCUGAUGAGAUGGUGAAUGGUGUCCUGGGGGACUUCCUCCCAGACCUGGAUCAGGAAAUCAGUGAGCUCCUGGACAGUCUGUGGUGCUACUUGGUGUCUUCACAUGCUCCGAUACAUAACGUCCCAGAGGUUCUCAGAUGAAUUCAGGUCUGGGGAAAGUGAGGACCAGUCAGUGGCAUCAAUGCCUCCGUCAUCCAGAAACUGCCUACACACUCUGGCCACAUGAGGCCAGGCAUUUUCAUGCACCAAGAGGAACCCAGGGCCCACUGCACCAGCGCAAGGUCUAACAAUGGCUCUGAGGAUUUCAUCCCGGUCAUUUUGUAGGGCUCUGGCACUGCUCCUCCUCCAAAGGAGCAGAUAUCAGUCCUGCUGCUGGGUCUUUGCCCUUCUACAGCCCUGUCCAGCUCUCCUUGUGUGACGACCCAUCUCCCGGUACCCUCCACCAUGCUCUUGAAACUGUGCUGGGAGACACACCAAACCUCCUUGCGACGGGCUUUAAUCCUUGUGCAGGAGUGACUGCAUCAGUGCGGCGUGGCGUGGAGGCGAUCAGCCUGCGGCACUGCUGAGGUGUUCUGGAGGUCCAGGUUGCUUUGAUAGCGGUCUUCAGCUCGUCCGUAUUGUCGGGUCUGGUGUCUCUUGUAGAUUCUCUAUGGGGUUCGGGUCAGGCGAGUCGGAUGGACGAUCGAGCACAGUAACCACCACGGUCAGUAAACCAGUUACUGGAAGUUUUGGCCCUGUGGGCAGGUGCCGAGUCCUGCUGGAGAAGGAAAUCCACACUGCAUUGGCUCCCAUUUAAUCUCACACUGAUUAUAAAAUACUAUUAUUAACCUAUAAAGCACUAAAUGGUCUCGCACCACAGUACAUAAUCGACCUUUAGGUUUAUAUGAUCCGCCACGCCUACUUAGAUCAAAAGGUGCAGGCUGUCCUGACGGUACCUGGAAUAGUGAAGGCUACAGCAGGGGGAAGAGCUUUCUCUUAUAGAGCCCCACAGUUAUGGAACAGUCUUCCUAUUAGUGUUCGGGACUCAGACACAGUCUCAGUGUUUAAGUCUAGGCUUAAAACGUAUUUGUUUACUCAAGCCUACCCUGACUAGAUUCUGUUACGCUAAGCACAGUCCUAAUAAUCUUUUCUCUCCCUCUCUCCUUCUGCCGAACCACACACGAUUUUAUGGAGAUACUAGAGAUCCAGAUCCUCUCUGAUCUCCGGACCUGUCUGAUCCGUUUCGGAUGUCCUGCUCUGGAUGGAGCUCUCAUCUACUCCAAUUCCAGACUGCUGGGACUACGGCUGCUCUUAACACCAUACAGACUUCAUAUGAAUCCAUAAUGAACUUUUUCACACUAUCUGUUGUUACCCAGAUGAGGAUGGGUUCCUUCUGAGUCGGGUUCCUCUCAAGGUUUCUUCCUCUUAAAACAUCUUAGGGAGUUUUUCCUCGCCACCGUCGCCACUCAGUGGCUUGCUCAGUUGGGAUAAAUUCACACCUUUAAUAUCUGUACACCGCGUUGAUAUUUCUGUAAAGCUGCUUUGAGACAAUGUCUAUUGUAAAAAGCGCUAUACAAAUAAAAUUGAAUUGAAUUAGCAUCUCCAUAAAGCUCGUCAGCAGAGGGAAGCAUGAAGUGCUCUAAAAAUCGCCUGGUAGAUGCUGCAUCGACUCUCGACUUGAGAAAACACACUGGACCAACACCAGCAGAUGACGUGGCACCUCAAAUCAUCACCGACUGUGGAAACUUCACACUGGACUUCAAGCAGCUUGGAUUCAGUUCCUCUCCACUCGUCCUCCAGACUCUGGGAUUAUACUGGGAUCUACUGGAUUUUUGAUUUCCGUGAGCUGUAAGCCAUAAUCAUCAAUAUUAGAACUGAAAAAAGACUUGAAAUAUUUCACUUUAUGUGUAAAGAAUCUAGAAUAUAUGAAAGUUCCACUUUUUGAAUUAAAUUAUGGAAAAAAAAGAGAACUUUUCCACGAUAUUCUA